AUUGAACGCUGGCGGCAGGCCUAACACAUGCAAGUCGAGCGGAUGAAGGGAGCUUGCUCCUGGAUUCAGCGGCGGACGGGUGAGUAAUGCCUAGGAAUCUGCCUGGUAGUGGGGGAUAACGUCCGGAAACGGGCGCUAAUACCGCAUACGUCCUGAGGGAGAAAGUGGGGGAUCUUCGGACCUCACGCUAUCAGAUGAGCCUAGGUCGGAUUAGCUAGUUGGUGGGGUAAAGGCCUACCAAGGCGACGAUCCGUAACUGGUCUGAGAGGAUGAUCAGUCACACUGGAACUUAGACACGGUCCUGACUCCUACGGGAGGCAGCAGAGGGGAAUAUUGGACAAUGGGCGAAAGCCUGAUCCAGCCAUGCCGCGUGUGUGAAGAAGGUCUUCGGAUUGUAAAGCACUUUAAGUUGGGAGGAAGGGCAGUAAGUUAAUACCUUGCUGUUUUGACGUUACCAACAGAAUAAGCACCGGCUAACUUCGUG
This 484-nucleotide ribosomal RNA is filed under the name uncultured bacterium. RNAcentral describes it as "partial 16S ribosomal RNA". It matches the Rfam family "Bacterial small subunit ribosomal RNA", at positions 30 to 507 of the family's 1533-position model. The record is from RNAcentral.